CGACGCCGCGUGAGGGAGGAAGGCUUCGGUUGUAACUCUUUGACGAGGAAGAACACAAUGACGGUACUCGUCGAAUAAGCCCCGGCUAACUCCGUGC
RNAcentral lists this ribosomal RNA (97 nucleotides) under uncultured bacterium. Its description in RNAcentral is "partial 16S ribosomal RNA". The record is from RNAcentral.